This 361-nucleotide ribosomal RNA is filed under the name Anomaloglossus aff. degranvillei 1 AF-2012. Its description in RNAcentral is "partial 12S ribosomal RNA". The record is from RNAcentral. Lineage: Eukaryota; Metazoa; Chordata; Amphibia; Anura; Aromobatidae.
GAAAUCAAUCAUUAUUUAGUAUACACAUGCAAGUCUCCGCACCCCUGUGAAAACGCCCUAAAAUCCCCAGUAGGGAAUAGGAGCCGGUAUCAGGCACAACCUAUUUGCCCAAAACACCUAGCCUCGCCACACCCACAAGGGUUUACAGCAGUGAUUAACCUUGAGCAUAAGCGACAGCUUGACUCAGCUAAAUUAUCUAGAGCUGGCCAAUCUGGUGCCAGCCGCCGCGGUUACACCAGAAGCUCAAAUUGAUUUCUACCGGCGUAAAGCGUGAUUAAAGCUAUUAUUUACUGGAAUCUAAUUAAAACUGAGCUGUGACACGCCUGUUAUCCAAGAAGACCAAAAACUAAAGUUAUUCCAA